CGCGUAGGCGGUUCGGCAAGUCUAGUGUGAAAUCUUCACCGCUUAACGGGAAGCGUGCACUGGAAACUGCUGGACUUGAGUGCGAGAGAGGUGAGUGGAAUUCCUGGUGUAGCGGUGGAAUGUGUAGAUAUCAGGAAGAACACCGGUGGCGAAGGCGGCUCACUGGAUCGCAACUGACGCUGAGGCGCGAAAGCUAGGGUAGCGAACG
Molecule: ribosomal RNA, 208 nt
Filed under: uncultured bacterium
Lineage: Bacteria
Description: partial 16S ribosomal RNA
Rfam family: Bacterial small subunit ribosomal RNA
Source: RNAcentral